AUGUGUGAGUUGUGCUUGUCUCGUGAGUCUUCUCAUUACCUUCUUGUUCCUCCGCGUUCUUAUCCGUUUCAUCCGGUUCCCUUUUUGUUUGGUUUGUCUCUCAAGACAGUUUUAUUUUGUAUUUUACCUGUUUGUGCAAUAAACCAUACCUGCAAUUGGAUCCUACCCUCUCCUUGUGUUUUUCCCAUAACCCAAACGUCACAGAAGGACUCCAUCAUGCCUAGAUCCAGCGGUGUGGGAUUUCGAAUCGGUUCCCCGGCCACCAUGGAGGAACGGAGGGGGAGAUUCCGGAACUUAACCACCCUUCAUCAAAAGGGAAGUGAGGUGGGUGGCCUGGCGCAAUUGUUUUGGACUUUGGCAGUCGGGUUAGGUUACAAUGAUGCAGCACUAAAAGAUUUGUUUAAUAAUUGCCUGGAUGAUCCUUUACCUCAAUGGGAGAUGAAGGGGUUGGAGAUCCUGGACUUUUGGGGCUUUACCAAUUACCUGCACCAUCGUGCUCAGUGGGAUGCAACAACCACACCAGAGUUUCCAGACAAGACUGCCACCUGCUCAGCGCCACAGCACAAGAUGGCCGAAUCUACACCUGUGUCUCUAAACAAGAUGGCUGACUCAACGCCUGAGUCUUCCGUCAAGGUGCCACCGACUCGCCAUCAUAGAGGGCGGAGGAGGAGGAGACCGGCAUCUACCGUUCCUCAAAGCCCGAAGGACGGUCCCGAGCAGCCCACUGUCGUCCCGGAGGACAUUCCCGAGCAGGACGCUGCCGUCCAGGAGGACGUUCCCGAGCAGGCCGCCAGCCCAUUCCCGAGGCGGUGCCCGAUGCUGUUCCCGAGGCCGAGGCGGUGCCCGAUGCAGUUCCCGAGGCCGCGGCUGUUCCCGAGGAGGUGCUCGAUGCUGUUCGAGAGGCCGAGGCGGUGCCCGAUGCGGUGCCCGAUGUAGUUCCCGAUGCUGUUCCCGAUGCGGAGCCCGAGGUGGUGCCCGAUGCUGUUCCCGAGGCCGAGGCUGUUCCCGAGGCGGUGCCCGAUGCAGUGCCCGAGGCAGUUCCCGAGGCGGAGCCCGAUGCUGUUCCCGAGGCGGUGCCCGAUGCUGUUCCAGAGACCGAGGCGGUGCCCGAUGCUGUUGCCAAGGCGGUGCCGGAGGCCGAGGCGGUGCCCGAUGCUGUUCCCGAGGCGGUGCCCGAUGCUGUUCCAGAGACCGAGGCGGUGCCCGAUGCUGUUGCCAAGGCGGUGCCGGAGGCCGAGGCGGUGCCCGAUGCUGUUCCCGAGGCGGUGCCCGAUGCGGUUCCCGAGGCGGUGCCCGAUGCUGUUCCAGAGGCCGAGGCGGUGCCCGAUGCUGUUCCAGAGGCCGAGACCGGGGCGGUGCCCGAGGCCGAGGCAGUGUCCAAUGUUGUUUCGGAGACCGAGGCGGGGCCCGAAACCGUUCCCGAUGCGGUGCCCGAGACCGCUUCGUCCUGGGGGACUCCGACGGUGACCAUGAGGAUGUGGUGGUCAUCCGCUCCGCCCUGGGGGACUCUGGCGGUGACCAAGAGGACGUGGUGGUCUUCCGCUCCGCCCUGGGGGGGCUUCUGCUUUGACCAGAUGGGUGUGAUGGCCCUCUGUUCCGCCCGGGUGGGCAUCACCUAAUGUCCUCCAUUUACCAAUGUUUUUGUUUUCAUUUUUUUUUUUUUUUCUAUUUUCCUCCGUUGGACCUGGCCCUCCGUCCCUCCCCUCUUUCCUUCCGCCGGUCCACCACCCUCCUGGACUCCUUGUUUUGUGUUACACCUUCCUGUCUCUGCCUUUCCUUCCCAUCUGGUUGUUCCGUCUCUGUUUUGUCCAUUUUUCCAGGUUCUUUAUCUCUGUCCAUUCCAUCUGGUUCUCCUGUCCCUGUUUUCUGACCCUCCGUCCCUCCCCCUAGUCCGCCACCGCUUCACCUCCCUCCUACCUCUUUUCUGUUGGGUUUUCCGGGGUUUCAGGUGGAGCAUCUGGUAGCUGCUCCAUAGGGGAGGGGGUAAUGUCACGCUGAGUUCCUGAGGCGGUGCCCGAUGCAGUUCCCGAGGCGGUGCCCGAUGCAGUUCCCGAUGCGGUGCCCGAUGCAGUUCCCGAUGCGGUGCCCGAUGCGGUGCCCGAGGCGGAGCCCGAUGCUGUUCCCGAGGCGGUGCCCGAUGCUGUUCCCGAGGCGGUGCCCGAUGCUGUUCCCGAGGCGGUGCCCGAUGCAGUUCCCGAGGCGGUGCCCGAUGCAGUUCCCGAGGCCGCGGCUGUUCCCGAGGAGGUGCCCGAUGAGGUGCCCGAUGCAGUUCCCGAGGCGGUGCCCGAUGCGGUGCCCGAUGCUGUUCCCGAGGCGGUGCCCGAUGCUGUUCCCGAGGUCGAGGCGGUACCCGAGGUGGUUCCCGAGGCGGUGCCCGAUGCCGAGGCGGUGCCCGAUGCUGUUCCAGAGACCGAGGCGGUGCCCGAUGCUGUUCCAGAGGCCGAGGCGGUGCCCGAUGCAGUUCCCGAGGCCGCGGCUGUUCCCGAGGAGGUGCUCGAUGCUGUUCGAGAGGCCGAGGCGGUGCCCGAUGCGGUGCCCGAUGUAGUUCCCGAUGCUGUUCCCGAUGCGGAGCCCGAGGUGGUGCCCGAUGCUGUUCCCGAGGCCGAGGCUGUUCCCGAGGCGGUGCCCGAUGCAGUGCCCGAGGCAGUUCCCGAGGCGGAGCCCGAUGCUGUUCCCGAGGCGGAGCCCGAUGCUGUUCCCGAUGCAUUUACAUUUACAUUUAAUCAUUUAGCAGACGCUUUUAUCCAAAGCGACUUACAAAUGAGAACAAUAGAAGCAGUCAGGUCAACAAGAGAACAACAACAGAAUACAAGUGCCAUGACAAGUCUCAGUUAGUCUAGUAUAGAACGCAUAGCCAGGUAUAUAUAAUUUUUUUAUUUUAUUAAAUGAAAGAAAAAAAAAAAAAAAAAAAGACAAGAAAAGGAAAAGUACUGGUGUUAGUAGGUUAAGUGCAGGCGAAAAAGAUGAGUUUUUAGAUGUUUCUUGAAAAUGAGUAAAGACUCAGCUGUACGAAUUGAGAUUGGGAGGUCAUUCCACCAGCUGGGCGCAGUCCAGGAAAAGGUCCGUGAGAGUGAUUUUGAAUUUCUUUGGGAUGGCACCAUAAGGCGUUGUUCACUUGCAGAACGCAAACUUCUGGAGGGCACAUAGGAUUUAACCAGUGAGUUUAGGUAAGUUGGUGCCGUGCCAGUGGUCGUCUUGUAGGCAAGCAUCAGUAUCUUGAAUUUGAUGCGAGCAGCUACUGGUAGCCAGUGUAACCUGAUGAGAAGAGGAGUAACAUGAGCUUUUUUUGGCUCAUUGAAGACAACCCUCGCUGCUGCAUUCUGGAUCAUUUGCAGAGGCUUGACAGUACAUGCAGGAAGGCCCCCCAGGAGAGCAUUACAAUAGUCCAGUCUAGAGAGAACAAGAGCUUGGACAAGAAGUUGGGUUGCUUGCUCUGACAGGAAGGGUCUAAUCUUCCUAAUGUUGUAUAAGGCAAACCUGCAGGACCGGGUCGUUGUAGCAAUGUGGUCAGUGAAGCUUAAUUGAUGAUCCAUCACAACUCCUAGGUUUCUGGCUGUCCUCGAAGGAGUUAUGGUUGACGAGCCCAGCUGUAUAGAGAAGUUGUGAUGAAUCAAUUGGUUAGCUGGAAUCACCAGUAGUUCAGUCUUUGUAAGGUUAAGCUGAAGGUGAUGGUCAUUCAUCCAGCUAGAAAUGUCACUCAGACAGGCUGAAAUGCGAGCAGCUACUGUCGGGUCAUCAGGCUGGAAUGAGAAGUAGAGUUGGGUGUCAUCAGCAUAGCAGUGAUAAGAAAAGCCAUGCUUCUGAAUGACAGAUCCUAAAGAUGUCAUGUAGAUGGAGAAGAGAAGUGGUCCAAGUACUGAGCCUUGAGGAACCCCAGUAGCAAGGUGGUGUGACUUUAAAACAUCACCCCUCCAAGACACACUGAAUGAUCUGUCAGAGAGGUAGGACUUAACCCACAGGAGAGCAGUUCCAGAGAUUCCCAUCUUUCUGAGGGUGGACAGGAGAAUCUUGUGAUUAACAGUGUCAAAAGCAGCAGACAGGUCCAGUAAGAUGAGUACCGAGGAUUUUGAAGCUGCUCUUGCUAGUCGCAGGGCUUCAGUAACCGAGAGCAGAGCAGUCUCAGUUGAGUGGCCACUUUUGAAGCCAGAUUGGUUGCUGUCCAGGAGGUUGUUCUGUCCAAGGAACAUAGAAAGCUGGUUGAACACAGCCCGCUCAAGUGUCUUUGCAAUGAAUGGAAGCAGGGAUACCGGUCUGUAGUUUUCAAGAAGCGCUGGAUUUAGAGAUGGUUUCUUGAGCAGUGGGCUUACCCGAGCCUGCUUGAAUGCUAAGGGAAAUGUUCCAGAUUGAAGAGAAGAGUUGAUAAUGUGAGUAAGUGAAGGUAUGACUGAAGAAGAGAUCGCUUGAAGGAGGUGAGUGGGGAUAGGAUCAAGUGGACAAGUAGUAGGAUGAUUGGACAUGAGAAUUUUGGAGACGUCCAUCUCUGAGAGUGGGGAGAAGGAGGAUAAAGAGUGUGCAUCGGUCAUUGUGAAGUUUUCCUCAGUCUGCGGUGUGGAGACUGAGGAAAAUGCGAUGCGGUGCCCGAUG
This 4584-nucleotide long non-coding RNA is filed under the name Carassius auratus (goldfish). RNAcentral's name for it is "lncRNA (ENSCARG00000049627.1)". The record is from RNAcentral. Lineage: Eukaryota; Metazoa; Chordata; Actinopteri; Cypriniformes; Cyprinidae.